Molecule: ribosomal RNA, 253 nt
Filed under: uncultured bacterium
Lineage: Bacteria
Description: partial 16S ribosomal RNA
Rfam family: Bacterial small subunit ribosomal RNA
Source: RNAcentral
UACGGAGGGUGCAAGCGUUAUCCGGAUUUACUGGGUUUAAAGGGUGCGCAGGCGGAUAUGUAAGUCAGUGGUGAAAUCUCUAGGCUUAACCUGGAAAUUGCCGUUGAUACUAUAUAUCUUGAAUGCUGUGGAGGUAAGCGGAAUAUGUCAUGUAGCGGUGAAAUGCUUAGAUAUGACAUAGAACACCUAUUGCGAAGGCAGCUUACUUCGCAGAUAUUGACGCUCAUGCACGAAAGCGUGGGGAUCAAACAGG